Molecule: ribosomal RNA, 562 nt
Filed under: uncultured bacterium
Lineage: Bacteria
Description: bacterial SSU rRNA
Rfam family: Bacterial small subunit ribosomal RNA
Source: RNAcentral
UUAAUUCGAUGCAACGCGAAGAACCUUACCUGGUCUUGACAUCCUCGGAACCCUACAGAGAUGUGGGGGUGCCUUCGGGAGCCGAGAGACAGGUGCUGCCAUGGCCUGUUCGUCAGCUCGUGUCGUGAGAUGUUGGGUUAAGUCCCGCAACGAGCGCAACCCUCGUCCGUAGUUGCCAGCAUUCAGUUGGGAACUCUACGGAGACUGCCGGUGACAAACCGGAGGAAGGUGGGGAUGACGUCAAGUCAUCAUGGCCCUUAUGACCAGGGCUACACACGUGCUACAAUGGUCGGUACAAAGGGUUGCCAAGCCGCGAGGUGGAGCCAAUCCCAGAAAACCGGUCGUAGUCCGGAUCGGAGUCUGCAACUCGACUCCGUGAAGUCGGAAUCGCUAGUAAUCGCGAAUCAGCCAUGUCGCGGUGAAUACGUUCCCGGGCCUUGUACACACCGCCCGUCACACCAUGGGAGUUGGUUGCACCAGAAGUAGUUAGUCUAACCGCAAGGGGGGCGAUUACCACGGUGUGGUCAAUGACCUGGGGUGAAGUCGUAACAAGGUAGCCGUA